Molecule: ribosomal RNA, 696 nt
Filed under: Staphylococcus aureus
Lineage: Bacteria; Bacillati; Bacillota; Bacilli; Caryophanales; Staphylococcaceae
Description: bacterial SSU rRNA
Rfam family: Bacterial small subunit ribosomal RNA
Source: RNAcentral
GGAUAAUAUUUUGAACCGCAUGGUUCAAAAGUGAAAGACGGUCUUGCUGUCACUUAUAGAUGGAUCCGCGCUGCAUUAGCUAGUUGGUAAGGUAACGGCUUACCAAGGCAACGAUGCAUAGCCGACCUGAGAGGGUGAUCGGCCACACUGGAACUGAGACACGGUCCAGACUCCUACGGGAGGCAGCAGUAGGGAAUCUUCCGCAAUGGGCGAAAGCCUGACGGAGCAACGCCGCGUGAGUGAUGAAGGUCUUCGGAUCGUAAAACUCUGUUAUUAGGGAAGAACAUAUGUGUAAGUAACUGUGCACAUCUUGACGGUACCUAAUCAGAAAGCCACGGCUAACUACGUGCCAGCAGCCGCGGUAAUACGUAGGUGGCAAGCGUUAUCCGGAAUUAUUGGGCGUAAAGCGCGCGUAGGCGGUUUUUUAAGUCUGAUGUGAAAGCCCACGGCUCAACCGUGGAGGGUCAUUGGAAACUGGAAAACUUGAGUGCAGAAGAGGAAAGUGGAAUUCCAUGUGUAGCGGUGAAAUGCGCAGAGAUAUGGAGGAACACCAGUGGCGAAGGCGACUUUCUGGUCUGUAACUGACGCUGAUGUGCGAAAGCGUGGGGAUCAAACAGGAUUAGAUACCCUGGUAGUCCACGCCGUAAACGAUGAGUGCUAAGUGUUAGGGGGUUUCCGCCCCUUAGUGCUGCAGCU